AUAUAAACUUUUUGUCUUUUCAGAUCAACUAUGUUAUUAAGAAACGGCCCUGACAUUCCCAUGGAUGAUAUUCCUCUGUCAAUCAGAACAAAUCUAGAAAAUGGCCGACUCUAAAUCAUGUAUACAGCAGCCAUCUUGAGGGAGACAGAUUGAAGACUAUGAAUGUCAGAAAACAUUUAAAAUGGCAUGAAAAAUGUAAAAAAAAAUACUGUGUUCUCAUUAGCUAAAAUAUUUUGCUUGUAAAACCUGGUUGUACUAUUUUUAAGAUGUGAUUUUUUUAUUUUUAUUUUUUUAUUUUUAGUCUAUAUAUAUAUUGUUGCUAUUUUUAGACAUUAUAUAUAUAUAUAAAAAAGUUUAUGCAAUAUAUGUAUAGUA
Molecule: long non-coding RNA, 375 nt
Filed under: Mytilus galloprovincialis (Mediterranean mussel)
Lineage: Eukaryota; Metazoa; Mollusca; Bivalvia; Mytilida; Mytilidae
Source: RNAcentral